CCCUUAGAGUUUGAUCCUGGCUCAGGACGAACGCUGGCGGCGUGCCUAACACAUGCAAGUCGAACGAGGCCACUCUUUCGGGAGUGAGUCGAGUGGCGGACGGGUGAGUAACACGUGAGCAAUCUACCCUUGUGCGGGGGAUAACCCGGGGAAACCCGGGCUAAUACCGCAUGUUUCGGGAGAGCGGAAUCGCUUUCCUGGGAAACGUGGCCUCUUUACAAUGCUACGGCGCAGGGAGGAGCUCGCGGGCUAUCAGCUAGUUGGUGAGGUAAUAGCUCACCAAGGCUACGACGGCUACGGGGUCUGAGAGGACGACCCCGCACAUUGGAACUGAGACACGGUCCAGACUCCUACGGGAGGCAGCAGUGGGGAAUAUUGGGCAAUGGCCGAAAGGCUGACCCAGCGACGCCGCGUGUGGGAGGAAGCCCUUCGGGGUGUAAACCACUGUCAGAGGGGACGAAUGAGCGGAGGGUGAAUAAUCCUUCGAAGUGACGGUACCCUCAAAGGAAGCACCGGCUAACUCUGUGCCAGCAGCCGCGGUAAUACAGAGGGUGCAAGCGUUGUUCGGAAUUACUGGGCGUAAAGCGCGCGCAGGCGGAUCCUGCAAGUCCGGA
This 614-nucleotide ribosomal RNA is filed under the name uncultured bacterium. RNAcentral's name for it is "bacterial SSU rRNA". It matches the Rfam family "Bacterial small subunit ribosomal RNA", at positions 1 to 593 of the family's 1533-position model. The record is from RNAcentral.